Molecule: transfer RNA, 72 nt
Filed under: Camelus bactrianus (Bactrian camel)
Lineage: Eukaryota; Metazoa; Chordata; Mammalia; Artiodactyla; Camelidae
Also listed under: 2 other names
Rfam family: tRNA
About the family: Transfer RNA (tRNA) molecules are approximately 80 nucleotides in length. Their secondary structure includes four short double-helical elements and three loops (D, anti-codon, and T loops). Further hydrogen bonds mediate the characteristic L-shaped molecular structure. tRNAs have two regions of fundamental functional importance: the anti-codon, which is responsible for specific mRNA codon recognition, and the 3' end, to which the tRNAs corresponding amino acid is attached (by aminoacyl-tRNA synthetases). tRNAs cope with the degeneracy of the genetic code in two manners: having more than one tRNA (with a specific anti-codon) for a particular amino acid; and 'wobble' base-pairing, i.e. permitting non-standard base-pairing at the 3rd anti-codon position.
Source: Rfam by way of RNAcentral
GAGGGUAUAGCUCAGUGGUAGAGUGUGUGCUUAGCAUGCACGAGAUCCUGGGUUCAAUCCCCAGUACCUCUG